AGUCGAGCGGAGAUGAGGUGCUUGCACCUUAUCUUAGCGGCGGACGGGUGAGUAAUGCUUAGGAAUCUGCCUAUUAGUGGGGGACAACAUUCCGAAAGGAAUGCUAAUACCGCAUACGUCCUACGGGAGAAAGCAGGGGAUCUUCGGACCUUGCGCUAAUAGAUGAGCCUAAGUCGGAUUAGCUAGUUGGUGGGGUAAAGGCCUACCAAGGCGACGAUCUGUAGCGGGUCUGAGAGGAUGAUCCGCCACACUGGGACUGAGACACGGCCCAGACUCCUACGGGAGGCAGCAGUGGGGAAUAUUGGACAAUGGGGGGAACCCUGAUCCAGCCAUGCCGCGUGUGUGAAGAAGGCCUUAUGGUUGUAAAGCACUUUAAGCGAGGAGGAGGCUACUGAGACUAAUACUCCUGGAUAGUGGACGUUACUCGCAGAAUAAGCACCGGCUAACUCUGUGCCAGCAGCCGCGGUAAUACAGAGGGUGCGAGCGUUAAUCGGAUUUACUGGGCGUAAAGCGUGCGUAGGCGGCUUUUUAAGUCGGAUGUGAAAUCCCCGAGCUUAACUUGGGAAUUGCAUUCGAUACUGGGAAGCUAGAGUAUGGGAGAGGAUGGUAGAAUUCCAGGUGUAGCGGUGAAAUGCGUAGAGAUCUGGAGGAAUACCGAUGGCGAAGGCAGCCAUCUGGCCUAAUACUGACGCUGAGGUACGAAAGCAUGGGGAGCAAACAGGAUUAGAUACCCUGGUAGUCCAUGCCGUAAACGAUGUCUACUAGCCGUUGGGGCCUUUGAGGCUUUAGUGGCG
RNAcentral lists this ribosomal RNA (794 nucleotides) under uncultured bacterium. RNAcentral describes it as "bacterial SSU rRNA". It matches the Rfam family "Bacterial small subunit ribosomal RNA", at positions 60 to 848 of the family's 1533-position model. The record is from RNAcentral.